Molecule: ribosomal RNA, 497 nt
Filed under: uncultured bacterium
Lineage: Bacteria
Description: partial 16S ribosomal RNA
Rfam family: Bacterial small subunit ribosomal RNA
Source: RNAcentral
GAUGAACGCUGGCGGCGUGCCUAAUACAUGCAAGUCGAGCGAACAGACGAGGAGCUUGCUCCUCUGACGUUAGCGGCGGACGGGUGAGUAACACGUGGAUAACCUACCUAUAAGACUGGGAUAACUUCGGGAAACCGGAGCUAAUACCGGAUAACAUGUUGAACCGCAUGGUUCAACAGUGAAAGACGGUCUUGCUGUCACUUAUAGAUGGAUCCGCGCCGCAUUCGCUAGUUGGUAAGGUAACGGCUUACCAAGGCAACGAUGCGUAGCCGACCUGAGCGGUGGAUCGGCCACCCUGGAACUGAGACACGGUCCAGACUCCUACGGGAGGCAGCAGUAGGGAAUCUUCGGCAAUGGGCGAAAGCCUGACGGAGCAACGCCGCGUGAGUGAAGAAGGUCUUCGGAUCGUAAAACUCUGUUAUUAGGGAAGAACAAAUGUGUAAGUAACUAUGCACGUCUUGACGGUACCUAAUCAGAAAGCCACGGCUAACUACGUG